AGUGGUGAUAGAGGUGCGAAAGUCAAAAGUACCCGUGCGGAGGAAGAUGAAUCCGAAGAAGCGCGGAAAAAGGGACAAUCGCCGAAGUCUGCAAUCCUUUCAUCAGGAUGCAAACUGGUUCUGUAUUUAAUAAAUGCAGAGCUGUCAAGAUGAUUCCUCAUCUUGGAGAGCUAUCUCACCU
This 181-nucleotide non-coding RNA is filed under the name Jeotgalibacillus campisalis. RNAcentral's name for it is "Lysine sequence". It matches the Rfam family "Lysine riboswitch aptamer". From Rfam's summary of the family: Riboswitches are metabolite binding domains within certain messenger RNAs that serve as precision sensors for their corresponding targets. Allosteric rearrangement of mRNA structure is mediated by ligand binding, and this results in modulation of gene expression. Lineage: Bacteria; Bacillati; Bacillota; Bacilli; Caryophanales; Caryophanaceae. The record is from Rfam by way of RNAcentral.